This is a long non-coding RNA of Capsicum annuum, 859 nucleotides long. RefSeq lists it as uncharacterized. The transcript is spliced from 3 exons. The record is from RefSeq and is a predicted model, not a curated record. NCBI's taxonomy places the organism in Eukaryota, Viridiplantae, Streptophyta, Magnoliopsida, Solanales, Solanaceae.
UCUCAUAGGCAGCAACACAUACUUGUUUUAUUUAGAAAAUAUAAAAGAAAACCGUGGCUCUUUGGCCUCCCAAAAUUAUUGUCUUCCUUUAGUGCCUUUCCUUGCUUGUUUGUGUGAAUGUUCAUAGAUUCUUGGGGACUAUUUUAGCGGGGUUGGGAACUGAGUUUAGCAUCACUUUUGAGUGUGUUAAGCUGUCCACACGCGUCUUCAAAUAGGCCCAUGACAAGAAGAAUUUAUCAAGCCCAACCCCUCUUCUUCCAGAUUUGUCUAUUGUAUUGAGGAACUCUUGACAAGGCACAAAUCAACAGUAGCUGAAUUUCUUUCGAAGAAUUAUGACUGGAAAUGGCUGAACGGGAAAAAACUCGAAUCACUCCAAGUGGGAGUUUUGGAUGUCGAGCAAAGAGACAAGGUAGAAGAGUACGUCGCCGAAGGGCAUGUUUUCGAGGUCGCGAGAUCAUUUGAAAUGGUGUCCCCAGGGAGACACAAAAUUUAUUACGGAAUGAAAGUGCUAUACGAAGGGAAAGAGAGAAGAAGUUAAAAGAGUUGAAGUAUUUUAAGAUGUCACCUAAUGUCUCAGUUGCUAGUUUUAUUCAGUUAUUUGAAUUGAAACAUGUAGAACUAGAAAACUAUGUAGAAAUCUCGGAUUGAGAAGCAUUAGCUAUUUUAGCAAAUUCUCUCCGUGAACCUUGGGGCUGGAGAUUAAUUGAUAUUUACCAUGAGAUUUGGCCUAGCGAGCCUUUUUGGGUGUACAUAAGUCGUCUAAAAUAUUUGUGGUAUGACUUUUAUCUUUAGAUUGACUUGUGACUUGCAACAUGUAGUUAUUUCUUAACUUUAUGUUAUAUAUAAAUUAAGUUGGUUA